Molecule: ribosomal RNA, 465 nt
Filed under: Vreelandella stevensii
Lineage: Bacteria; Pseudomonadati; Pseudomonadota; Gammaproteobacteria; Oceanospirillales; Halomonadaceae
Description: partial 16S ribosomal RNA
Rfam family: Bacterial small subunit ribosomal RNA
Source: RNAcentral
CCUACGGGCGGCUGCAGUGGGGAAUAUUGGACAAUGGGCGAAAGCCUGAUCCAGCCAUGCCGCGUGUGUGAAGAAGGCCUUCGGGUUGUAAAGCACUUUCAGUGGGGAAGAAAGCCUUGGGGCUAAUACCCUCGAGGAAGGACAUCACCCACAGAAGAAGCACCGGCUAACUCCGUGCCAGCAGCCGCGGUAAUACGGAGGGUGCGAGCGUUAAUCGGAAUUACUGGGCGUAAAGCGCGCGUAGGCGGUCUGAUAAGCCGGUUGUGAAAGCCCCGGGCUCAACCUGGGAACGGCAUCCGGAACUGUCAGGCUAGAGUGCAGGAGAGGAAGGUAGAAUUCCCGGUGUAGCGGUGAAAUGCGUAGAGAUCGGGAGGAAUACCAGUGGCGAAGGCGGCCUUCUGGACUGACACUGACGCUGAGGUGCGAAGGCGUGGGUAGCAAACAGGAUUAGAUACCCCGGUAGUC